CCUGAACGCUGGCGGCAUGGCUAAAACAUGCAAGUCGUGGGAGAAGCACCUUCGGGUGUGGACACCGGCGAAAGGGCGAGCAACGCGAUCGAACGUACCCCGAGGUGGGGGAUAGCGUCGGGAAACCGGCGGUAAUACCCCAUGUGCUCUACUGAGGAAAGCUCCGGCGCCUUGGGAGCGGUGAUCGUCCUAUCAGGUUGUUGGUGAGGUAAUAGCUCACCAAGCCGAAGACGGGUAGCGGGUGUGAGAGCAUGACCCGCCGCAUCGGGACUGAGACACUGCCCGGACUCCUACGGGAGGCUGCAGUAACGAAUCUUCCGCAAUGCACGCAAGUGUGACGGAGCAAUGCCGCGUGUGGGAUGAAGCGGUUCCGCCGUGUAAACCACUGUCAGGGUCUAGGAAGAACUGACCAGACCCAGAGGAAGGGCCGGCUAAUCUCGUGCCAGCAGCCGCGGUAAGACGAGAGGCCCAAGCGUUAGGCGGAUUCACUGGGCUUAAAGGGUGCGUAGGCGGAUUGGCAAGCAUCUCGUGAAAUCCCUCGGCUCAACCGAGGAAUUGCGGGGUGAACUGCCUGUCUUGAGGAAGGCAGAGGCUGUCGGAACGUUCGGUGGAGCGGUGAAAUGCGUAGAUAUCGAACGGAACGCCGAAGGGGUAGCCAGGCAGCUGGGCCUUACCUGACGCUGAGGCACGAAAGCGUGGGGAUCAAACAGGAUUAGAUACCCUGGUAGUCCACGCCGUAAACGAUGUGCACUAGCUCGAUGCAGAUCUGACUCUGUGUCGGGCGCCGAGAAAUCAUUAAGUGCACCGCCUGGGGAGUACGGUCGCAAGGCUAAAACUCAAAGGAAUUGACGGGGGCUCACACAAGCGGUGGAGCAUGUUGCUUAAUUCGAAGCAACGCGAAGAACCUUACCUGGGUUUGACAUGCACGG
RNAcentral lists this ribosomal RNA (929 nucleotides) under uncultured bacterium. RNAcentral's name for it is "bacterial SSU rRNA". It matches the Rfam family "Bacterial small subunit ribosomal RNA", at positions 28 to 993 of the family's 1533-position model. The record is from RNAcentral.